Molecule: long non-coding RNA, 614 nt
Organism: Austrofundulus limnaeus
Lineage: Eukaryota; Metazoa; Chordata; Actinopteri; Cyprinodontiformes; Rivulidae
Exons: 3
Source: RefSeq, a predicted model, not a curated record
UCAACAUCUUUUACUGAGUUUUAAUUAGACUGAGACCUGAGUGGGCACACAGGCUGUGAAAUAUUCAGAUCCACAUCGUUUUAUUACUCGAAUCAUUUAAUGACCUCUCAAACCAAAUGAAGAACUGUCCUCCUGAUGRGACCACCACCACCAGGAGAGAAASCUUUGAUCGCACAGAAAAAAGCCGUCGCCCUGAAUCUUUUAUUAGGCCGACCCAAACCAAGAGUUCACCUGAGAGGUGAAGCUUCAAGGUCUUUCCUUCAGCCUCUCAUCCGUAACAGCAGGUAAAAUCCUAAAAGCUGCAGAGAUUCUGUCCCAAACUCCACUGAAAAACCAGGAGCAGAUGGCAUCAUGAAGACCAGCCAGUUGUGUGUGUUGUGGGGGGUGUAAUGUCCUUUAUGACCCUCAGGGGCCCCUGUAGGCAGCGGUACAGUUCUGACGAGCGUGUGGUGAUGUGUUGCACCGCAUGCAGCCUCGCCCAUGGCCCUGCAGUCUGCUGGACCACCGUGUGAAGGAACCUGAGGGUCCUAGUGGGACCCCUGAUUAAAGUCACUGCAGACCUGGGGCCUGAGGCCAAAAGGUCCUGAGACCAGUUUGAACCCACAGAUGGAGCA